This 274-nucleotide ribosomal RNA is filed under the name uncultured bacterium. RNAcentral's name for it is "partial 16S ribosomal RNA". It matches the Rfam family "Bacterial small subunit ribosomal RNA", at positions 523 to 796 of the family's 1533-position model. The record is from RNAcentral.
AUACGGAGGGUCCGAGCGUUAUCCGGAAUCAUUGGGUUUAAAGGGUCCGUAGGCGGGAAUCUAAGUCAGUGGUGAAAUCUUGCAGCUCAACUGUAAAAUUGCCAUUGAUACUGGAUUUCUUGAAUUAGUGUGAAGUGGUUAGAAUGUGUAGUGUAGCGGUGAAAUGCAUAGAUAUUACACAGAAUACCAAUUGCGAAGGCAGAUCACUAACACUAUAUUGACGCUGAGGGACGAAAGCGUGGGGAGCGAACAGGAUUAGAUACCCUUGUAGUCC